GACCACGUAGCUCAGUUGGCAGAGCAUUGGGCUAGUAUUCCGAAGGUCGUAGGUUCGAUUCCCACUGUGGCCA
Molecule: transfer RNA, 73 nt
Filed under: Paramuricea clavata
Lineage: Eukaryota; Metazoa; Cnidaria; Anthozoa; Malacalcyonacea; Plexauridae
Rfam family: tRNA
About the family: Transfer RNA (tRNA) molecules are approximately 80 nucleotides in length. Their secondary structure includes four short double-helical elements and three loops (D, anti-codon, and T loops).
Source: Rfam by way of RNAcentral